This 111-nucleotide ribosomal RNA is filed under the name Orchesella cincta. Lineage: Eukaryota; Metazoa; Arthropoda; Collembola; Entomobryomorpha; Orchesellidae. The record is from RNAcentral.
GCCAACGGCCAUACCACGUUGAACACACCAGUUCUCGUCCGAUCACUGAAGUUAAGCAACGUCGGCCCGGUUAGUACUUGGACCGCCUGGGAACCCCGGGUGCUGUUGGUA